GAUGCUGUGACUCAGUGGUAGAGCAUCUGCUGGGAGAGCAGAAGCCAGGUUCAAUCCCUGGCAUCUUCA
RNAcentral lists this transfer RNA (69 nucleotides) under Sphaerodactylus townsendi. Its description in RNAcentral is "tRNA-Ser". It matches the Rfam family "tRNA". From Rfam's summary of the family: Transfer RNA (tRNA) molecules are approximately 80 nucleotides in length. Their secondary structure includes four short double-helical elements and three loops (D, anti-codon, and T loops). Further hydrogen bonds mediate the characteristic L-shaped molecular structure. tRNAs have two regions of fundamental functional importance: the anti-codon, which is responsible for specific mRNA codon recognition, and the 3' end, to which the tRNAs corresponding amino acid is attached (by aminoacyl-tRNA synthetases). tRNAs cope with the degeneracy of the genetic code in two manners: having more than one tRNA (with a specific anti-codon) for a particular amino acid; and 'wobble' base-pairing, i.e. permitting non-standard base-pairing at the 3rd anti-codon position. The record is from RNAcentral. Lineage: Eukaryota; Metazoa; Chordata; Lepidosauria; Squamata; Sphaerodactylidae.